RNAcentral lists this non-coding RNA (127 nucleotides) under Deltaproteobacteria bacterium. Its description in RNAcentral is "MoCo sequence". It matches the Rfam family "Molybdenum/Tungsten riboswitch aptamer (Moco RNA motif)". Lineage: Bacteria; Pseudomonadati; Myxococcota; Myxococcia. The record is from RNAcentral.
UAUCAAUAAUGUCUCCGAGCCCUUUUCCUAAAUUUCUAUUUUGGGGAGAAAUGGAGAUGGGCCGUUAGGGCAUGGCUGGAAACGGACAUGCCUCCCGUGUUUGGAAAGGAGAUGGGAAUCUAUUAAA